AUGCUAGCUAGUUCUUUAUCGGCAGUCGCGGAGAGUGCGUGUGAAAUUGUAUGCAGUGUUAUGCAUUUUACACUCAAUACAUCAAAAAUUGACGGAAUUUAGUGCCAGUGAGUUCGUGAGAUAAUUAAUUGUUAUUAAUCAUGUGCUACCUGUGUUGAAAACCAGGAUUUACUACAUCUCACGCUUUUACGUCUGCACUACAAGUAUUUGCCGUGCUUUGGAGUCCAUGAGUUGUGCAUUGGUGUCUAGCGGCCGAUAUUGAUGUUGUAUGACAACCGUUCUUUCACCAGAUUGUAGGUGUCUAGCGACCGAACCUGAUGCUGUAUGACAACCGUUCUUUCACCAGAUUGUAGGUGUCUAGCGGCCGAACCUGAUGUUGUAUGACAACCGUUCUUUCACCAGAUUGUAGGUACUAAAAUUCUCUAUCAUUUUCGGAUAUAACUUGUGGGUUUAUCCUUUGGGAAACCUACGAAAUUGCCCUUUUUGUGUUUUUGUUUGUCUCAUUUUUGCUGUUUUAGGUGUCUAGCGGCCGAAUCUGAAGUCGUAGGACAACCGUUCUUUCACCAGAUUGUAGGUGUCUAGCGGCCGAACCUGAUGUUGUACAACAACCGUUCUUUCACCAGAUUGUAGGGGUGUCUAGCGGCCGAACCUGAUGUCGCACAACAACCGUUCUUUCACCAAAUUGUAGUUUUUGGUGUCUAGCGACCGAACCUGAUGUCGUACAACAACUGUUCUUUCACCAGAUUGUAGGUGUCUAGCGGCCGAACUUGAUAUCGUAUGGCAACCGUUCUUUCACCAGAUUGUAGUUUUAGGUGUCUAGCGGCCGAACCUGAUGUCGUAGGACAACCGUUCUUUCACCAUAUGGUGUCUAGCGGCCGAACCUGAUGUCGUACGACAACCGUUCUUUCACCAGAUUGUAGGUGUCUAGCGGCCGAACCUGAUGUCGUACGACAACCGUUCUUUCACCAGAUUGUAGGUGUCUAGCGGCCGAACCUGAUGUCGUACGACAACCGUUCUUUCACCAGAUUGUAGGUACUAAAAUUCUUUAUCAUUUUCGUAUAUAACUUGUGGGUUUAUCCUUUGGGAAACCUACGAAAUUACCCUUUUUGUGUUAUAGUUUGUCGCAUUUUUGCUGUUUUAGGUGUCUAGCCGCCGAACCUGAUGUCGUACGACAACCGUUCUUUCACCAGAUUGUAGGUACUAAAAUUCUCUAUUAUUUUCGUAUAUAACUUAUGGGUUUAUCCUUUGGGAAACCUACGAAAUUGUCCUUUUUGUGUUUUUGUUUGUCUCAAUUUUGAUGUUUUAGGUGUCUAGCGGCCGAACUUGAUAUCGUAUGGCAACCGUUCUUUCACCAGAUUGUAGGUACUAAAAUUCUCUAUCAUUUUCGUAUAUAACUUGUGGGUUUAUCCUUUGGGAAACCUACGAAAUUGCCCUUUUUGUGUUUUUGUUUGUCUCAUUUUUGCUGUUUUAUGUGGCUAGUGGCCGAAUCUGAUGUCGUAGGACAACCGUUCUUUCACCAGAUUGUAGGUACUAAAAUUCUCUAUCAUUUUCGUAUAUAACUUGUGGGUUUAUCCUUUGGGAAACCUACGAAAUUGUCCUUUUUGUGUUUUUGUUUGUCUCAAUUUUGAGGUUUUAGGUGUCUAGCGGCCGAACCUGAUGUCGUACGACAACCGUUCUUUCACCAGAUUGUAGGUACUAAAAUUCUCUAUCAUUUUCGUGUAUAACUUGUGGGUUUAUCCUUUGGGAAACCUACGAAAUUGCCCUUUUUGUGUUUUUGUUUGUCUCAUUUUUGCUGUUUUAUGUGGCUAGUGGCCGAAUCUGAUGUCGUAGGACAACCGUUCUUUCACCAGAUUGUAGGUACUAAAAUUCUCUAUCAUUUUCGUAUAUAACUUGUGGGUUUAUCCUUUGGGAAACCUACGAAAUUGCCCUUUUUGUGUUUUUGUUUGUCUCAUUUUUGCUGUUUUAUGUGGCUAGUGGCCGAAUCUGAUGUCGUAGGACAACGUUUUUUUCACCAAAUUGUAGGUACUAAAAUUCUCUAUCAUUUACGUAUAUAACAUGUGGGUUUAUCCCUUGGGGAACCUACAAAAUUGCCCUUUUUGUGUUUUUGUUUAUCUAAUUUUUGCAGUUUUAGGUGUCUAGCGGCCGAACCUGAUGUCGUAGGACAACCGUUCUUUCACCAUAUGGUGAUAGCGGCCGAACCUGAUGUCGUAGGAUAACCGUUCUUCCACCAUAUUGAAGGUGUCUAGCGGCCGAACCUGAUGUCGUAGAACAAUCGUUCUUCCACCAUAGUGUAGGUGUCUAGCGGCCGAACCUGACGUCGUAGGACCACGUUUUUUUCCCCAAAUUGUAGGUACUGAAAUUCUCUAUCAUCUUCGUAUAUAACUUAUGGGUUUAACCUUCGGCAAACCUACAAAAUUAAAAUAAAAAUUCGGAAAUUUAAUUGCUUCAUAUCACAUCAUUUCUGUUAUUGCGUGCGUUGUUGUUUUCAACUUACGAACAUAGAUUGUCGUCCCUCCAACUGUGGGUCGGUUAUCAAUUGUCGUUCUUGUUUAGUCCGGCUUAGUCGUUCGUGCGCCGUGGUGUGGUGUGCACGUGUUUUGUUCAUUAAUCAAACUUCGUGAUAUUUGUUAGCGUUACUAAAGGUCUUAAUUCUGUAAUUAAUCUAGAAUUCUGUAAUUAAAUUUCUGUAAUAACAGACCAGUGUGGUGGUUGUUUGUAGGACGUACGUGGUGUCCGUCGGAUAAGUAUGCUCGCAUGGCUAAACAUAUUUAUUGUUCAUGUAUUAAAUUUAUGUGAUUGCACGGAGCUGUGUUUAUCAAUCGUGGAUUAAUUUUAUGUUCACCGGUGCGCGCGUGACCGUUGACAAUCAGUUAUCGUUUCGCACAUAAGAAAAACUUGGAUUUAUAAUUAAUUCCUGUAAAUGGACAACUUUGAUGGCCAGACAGAAUGUUUGUGAGUGCACGGAUUGAGUUUGCAAUAUCUUUAGCUGAAGUGUUGGAGAUUUGGGUAUUUUAAGGCAAGUUUUUACUACUCCAAAAUGUUCUAACUGUUGAUUAUUUUUAUUUAAAAAAAUGUAUCUAUUAUUAUUGUUCUCAGUAAAACACAAUGUAAAAUUACAA
This is a long non-coding RNA of Dalotia coriaria, 3119 nucleotides long. RefSeq lists it as uncharacterized. The record is from RefSeq and is a predicted model, not a curated record. NCBI's taxonomy places the organism in Eukaryota, Metazoa, Arthropoda, Insecta, Coleoptera, Staphylinidae. The transcript has 16 exons.